GGCGGACGGGUUUAGUAACGCGUGGGAACGUGCCCUUCACUAUGGAAUAGUCCCGGGAAACUGGGUUUAAUACCGUAUACGCCCUUCGGGGGAAAGAAUUUCGGUGAAGGAUCGGCCCGCGUCUGAUUAGGUAGUUGGUGGGGUAAUGGCCUACCAAGCCUACGAUCAGUAGCUGGUUUGAGAGGAUGAUCAGCAACACUGGGACUGAGACACGGCCCAGACUCCUACGGGAGGCAGCAGUGGGGAAUCUUAGACAAUGGGGGCAACCCUGAUCUAGCCAUGCCGCGUGAGUGACGAAGGCCUUAGGGUCGUAAAGCUCUUUCGCUGGGGAAGAUAAUGACUGUACCCAGUAAAGAAACCCCGGCUAACUCCGUGCCAGCAGCCGCGGUAAUACGGAGGGGGUUAGCGUUGUUCGGAAUUACUGGGCGUAAAGCGCGC
RNAcentral lists this ribosomal RNA (438 nucleotides) under uncultured Loktanella sp. Its description in RNAcentral is "bacterial SSU rRNA". It matches the Rfam family "Bacterial small subunit ribosomal RNA", at positions 97 to 570 of the family's 1533-position model. The record is from RNAcentral. Lineage: Bacteria; Pseudomonadati; Pseudomonadota; Alphaproteobacteria; Rhodobacterales; Roseobacteraceae.